GUGCCAGCCGCCGCGGUAAUACGGAGGGGGCUAGCGUUGUUCGGAAUCACUGGGCGUAAAGGGCGCGUAGGCGGACCACCAAGUCAGGGGUGAAAGCCCUGGGCUCAACCUAGGAAGUGCCCUUGAAACUGAUGGUCUUGAGUCCGGGAGAGGAGAGCGGAAUUCCCAGUGUAGAGGUGAAAUUCGUAGAUAUUGGGAAGAACACCGGUGGCGAAGGCGGCUCUCUGGACCGGCACUGACGCUGAGGCGCGAAAGCGUGGGGAGCAAACAGGAUUAGAAACCCGUGAGUCC
This 291-nucleotide ribosomal RNA is filed under the name uncultured bacterium. Its description in RNAcentral is "partial 16S ribosomal RNA". It matches the Rfam family "Bacterial small subunit ribosomal RNA", at positions 505 to 796 of the family's 1533-position model. The record is from RNAcentral.